This 466-nucleotide ribosomal RNA is filed under the name uncultured Burkholderiales bacterium. RNAcentral's name for it is "bacterial SSU rRNA". It matches the Rfam family "Bacterial small subunit ribosomal RNA", at positions 337 to 795 of the family's 1533-position model. The record is from RNAcentral. Lineage: Bacteria; Pseudomonadati; Pseudomonadota; Betaproteobacteria; Burkholderiales.
UCCUACGGGGGGCAGCAGUGGGGAAUUUUGGACAAUGGGGGCAACCCUGAUCCAGCAAUGCCGCGUGUGUGAAGAAGGCCUUCGGGUUGUAAAGCACUUUUGUCCGGAAAGAAAUCGCCCUGGCUAAUAUCCGGGGUGGAUGACGGUACCGGAAGAAUAAGCACCGGCUAACUACGUGCCAGCAGCCGCGGUAAUACGUAGGGUGCGAGCGUUAAUCGGAAUUACUGGGCGUAAAGCGUGCGCAGGCGGUUUUGUAAGACAGGCGUGAAAUCCCCGGGCUUAACCUGGGAAUUGCAUUUGAGACUGCACGGCUAGAGUGUGUCAGAGGGGGGUAGAAUUCCACGUGUAGCAGUGAAAUGCGUAGAUAUGUGGAGGAAUACCGAUGGCGAAGGCAGCCCCCUGGGAUAACACUGACGCUCAUGCACGAAAGCGUGGGGAGCAAACAGGAUUAGAUACCCGGGUAGUC